CAAUAGCGUAUAUUAAAGUUGUUGCGGUUAAAAAGCUCGUAGUUGGAUUUCUGCUGAGGACGAUCGGUCCGCCCUCUGGGUGAGUAUCUGGCUCGGCCUUGGCAUCUUCUUGGAGAACGUUACUGCACUUGACUGUGUGGUGCGGUAUCCAGGACUUUUACUUUGAGGAAAUUAGAGUGUUUCAAGCAGGCGCACGCCUUGAAUACAUUAGCAUGGAAUAAUAAGAUAGGACCUUGGUUCUAUUUUGUUGGUUUCUAGAGCUGAGGUAAUGAUUAAUAGGGAUAGUUGGGGGCAUUCGUAUUUAACUGUCAGAGGUGAAAGUCUUGGAUUUGUUAAAGACGGACUACUGCGAAAGCAUUUGCCAAGGAUGUUUUCAUUGA
This 380-nucleotide ribosomal RNA is filed under the name uncultured eukaryote. Its description in RNAcentral is "partial 18S ribosomal RNA". It matches the Rfam family "Eukaryotic small subunit ribosomal RNA", at positions 592 to 976 of the family's 1831-position model. The record is from RNAcentral.